RNAcentral lists this ribosomal RNA (301 nucleotides) under uncultured bacterium. RNAcentral's name for it is "partial 16S ribosomal RNA". It matches the Rfam family "Bacterial small subunit ribosomal RNA", at positions 509 to 807 of the family's 1533-position model. The record is from RNAcentral.
CAGUCGCCGCGGGAAUACGAGGGGGGCAAGCGUUGUUCGGAAUUACUGGGCGUAAAGCGUGCGUAGGCGGUUUGUUAAGUCUGCUGUGAAAUCCCCGGGCUCAACCUGGGAAUGGCAGUGGAUACUGGCAAGCUAGAGUGUGUCAGAGGAUGGUGGAAUUCCCGGUGUAGCGGUGAAGUGCGUAGAGAUCGGGAGGAACAUCAGUGGCGAAGGCGGCCAUCUGGGACAACACUGACGCUGAAGCACGAAAGCGUGGGGAGCAAACAGGAUUAGAUACCCCAGUAGUCCCUGUCUCUUAUAC